RNAcentral lists this ribosomal RNA (462 nucleotides) under uncultured bacterium. Its description in RNAcentral is "partial 16S ribosomal RNA". It matches the Rfam family "Bacterial small subunit ribosomal RNA", at positions 28 to 507 of the family's 1533-position model. The record is from RNAcentral.
GACGAACGCUGGCGGCGUGCUUAACACAUGCAAGUCGAACGGAAAGGCCCUUCGGGGUACUCGAGUGGCGAACGGGUGAGUAACACGUGGGUGAUCUGCCCUGCACUUUGGGAUAAGCCUGGGAAACUGGGUCUAAUACCGAAUAGGACCACGCGCUUCAUGGUGUGUGGUGGAAAGCUUUUGCGGUGUGGGAUGGGCCCGCGGCCUAUCAGCUUGUUGGUGGGGUAAUGGCCUACCAAGGCGACGACGGGUAGCCGGCCUGAGAGGGUGACCGGCCACACUGGGACUGAGAUACGGCCCAGACUCCUACGGGAGGCAGCAGUGGGGAAUAUUGCUCAAUGGGCGCAAGCCUGAUGCAGCGACGCCGCGUGAGGGAUGACGGCCUUCGGGUUGUAAACCUCUUUCAAUAGGGACGAAGCGCAAGUGACGGUACCUAUAGAAGAAGCACCGGCCAACUACGUG